CCUACGGGAGGCAGCAGUGAGGAAUUUUGGUCAAUGGGCUUAUGCCUGAACCAGCCAAGUCGCGUGAGGGAAGACUACCCUAUGGGUUGUAAACCUCUUUUGUCCGGGAGCACUUGGCGCUCCGUGUAGCGUUAUCGAGAGUACCUGCAGACAAAGCAUCGGCUAACUCCGUGCCAGCAGCCGCGGUAAUACGGAGGAUGCGAGCGUUCUCCGGAUGUAUUGUGUUUAAAGGGUGCGUAGGCGGAAUGCCAAGUCAGCGGUAAAAUCGCGGGGCUCAACCUCGCUCCGCCGUUGAAACUGGCGUUCUUGAGUGGGCGAUAAGUAUGCGGAAUGCGUGGUGUAGCGGUGAAAUGCAUAGAUAUCACGCAGAACUCCGAUUGCGAAGGCAGCAUACCGGCGCCCAACUGACGCUGAAGCACGAAAGCGUGGGUAUCGAACAGGAUUAGAUACCCGAGUAGUC
Molecule: ribosomal RNA, 460 nt
Filed under: uncultured bacterium
Lineage: Bacteria
Description: partial 16S ribosomal RNA
Rfam family: Bacterial small subunit ribosomal RNA
Source: RNAcentral